GAGGCUUAGAGGAUUGAGAAUGCUUAAUUGAUGGAAAGUAGGAGCUGUUACUCCCCCAUCUCCUCUACUCAGCAAAACUAAGGAAGCAAGCAAGCCCAUUCAAACAGUAGCUAUUGCCUUAAAAUGCCAACCUCAAGGAAGAGCUCAUUCCCAAGUGUGAAGGAAAUCUUCACAUCCCUGUUCCAGCAUUUCCUGCUCUGAUAUGUGUAUGCCCUUCUAAUUGGAAAUGUCGAGGAAUCACCUUCCAAUGGCUUUCCAUAACCACUAAAUAAGCAGCCGCUGUCACUGGGUGAGAUGCAUAUCCUGUCUCCUUCGUCCAGAAAGGGUCCUGUCCACUGCUUCCGGGGUCUAGUCGGGAGCGGCACUGUGCUGGGUGCCUUCCAUGAUCCCGCGCACAGCCAACUCCAUUUAAAGCGGUGAUUAUUAAACACUGUGGCUAAUUUAAUCAUCAUCCUUGCUGUUCUGUGAUGCCGCUGGCAGGGUGGCUAUCUGAGGCCUCCCAGGUCACCCUCCCGUGACGAGGGGAGACAGGUGCUGUGCCCACACCGAGGGCCGUCAGUGCGUGGGUGACGACCACACCUGGCAGGGCCGCAGAGCGCCUCGGAUGUGGGCUGUGGCCAGCAGCGCGCAGCAGAGGGAGCCCGGGCAUCUGUGCUGCAUUCCCAGCCCGGCUGAAGUUCCAGCAGCGCCCGCCGGCCCCUCAGCUCCACUGCGAUGCGCCUGCCGCGGUGAGGAGGGAGAGAGCCCAUUUUGCUUUCUUAGAGCAGGGGUGAGCAAUGAGCUCGCCGAGGAAUUUGGCAAGGAGACGGGAGCGGAAGGCAGUCGGGUGCCGGCAGACAAGUUGUGAGAUCCUUGCGGCGGCUCCCGGGGGGAGCAGCGGCUGACAAGACAGGGCUGGCGGGCUGCAGACCAGAGGGCGCCCCGCAGCACUGGAGCCUGACGCAGCCCCUGCUCCUGCUGCCUGUGGCUGAAUAAAGGGAGGAAGCUGGAGACACAAUUGCCAGUGAGCAAGCAAGCCAGGGAGCAGUGUUCCUAAAAGGAGAACACAGGCUCCAGAGGAGGGAGGGUGACCCUCUGCCUGCAAGGCUGCCUUUAAAGGAGAAUCCCUCAGGAGGUCUGAUGAAAAAUAUGGUGAAUGAUGCUGCUGAGGGCCAUCCAGUGGAAAGGCAGCUUGUAAAAUAUUACAGUGAGCCCUCCUCCACCUUAUUCACUGAACCUAGCACUGUGUGACUUCUGGCUCUUCCCCAAGUCAAAAUGACUAUAAAAGGUAAAUGUUUUGAAUUGAUUCAAGACAUGCAGGCAGCCACGUAGGAAAGAGGAUUCCAGAGCUGCUUCAGAACAUGGCUGGAGGGAUGAGAUCAGUGUGUUCAAAGUGAAGGGCAGGGUUUUGAGGGGAAUUCUUGACAAUGUGUCUUUUACU
RNAcentral lists this long non-coding RNA (1420 nucleotides) under Heterocephalus glaber (naked mole-rat). Its description in RNAcentral is "lncRNA (ENSHGLG00100048803.1)". Lineage: Eukaryota; Metazoa; Chordata; Mammalia; Rodentia; Bathyergidae. The record is from RNAcentral.